RNAcentral lists this non-coding RNA (102 nucleotides) under Attheya septentrionalis. Lineage: Eukaryota; Bacillariophyta; Biddulphiophyceae; Attheyales; Attheyaceae. The record is from RNAcentral.
CCAACGACAAGAGAGAAAGAUCUACAGGUCUAAAGAUAACGACGAAAAUUGGGUGGUAUAAUUAUUUGUCUCUUGUGGAACAUCACAUCAUUUUUCUUUCAU